Molecule: ribosomal RNA, 253 nt
Filed under: uncultured bacterium
Lineage: Bacteria
Description: partial 16S ribosomal RNA
Rfam family: Bacterial small subunit ribosomal RNA
Source: RNAcentral
UACGUAGGCAGCAAGCGUUGUUCGGAAUUACUGGGCGUAAAGAGUGUGUAGGCGGUGCUCCAAGUCUGUUGUGAAAUCUCCCGGCUUAACUGGGAGGGUGCGGCGGAAACUGGAGUGCUUGAGUGUGGGAGAGGUAAGCGGAAUUCCUGGUGUAGCGGUGAAAUGCGUAGAUAUCAGGAGGAACGCCUGUGGUGUAGACAGCUUACUGGACCACGACUGACGCUGAGGAGCGAAAGCCAGGGGAGCAAACGGG